Non-coding RNA from Tetranychus urticae (two-spotted spider mite), 758 nucleotides. NCBI's taxonomy places the organism in Eukaryota, Metazoa, Arthropoda, Arachnida, Trombidiformes, Tetranychidae. The record is from RefSeq and is a predicted model, not a curated record.
UUGAUCAUCAUCUGUAGUUCAUGGCGCAUUGCUCAGAGUAUAAGAGAGAAACAAUAUCUUUUAUGAAUAGUCAAGACUUGCUCUUCGAACCCAUAUGAUCAUAAUGUAAUAUUUUUUCACUGUUGUUGGAUCGAUAAGCCUAGUUGAUUGUCUUAAGACUUCAUCACAAAUUCAUGAAAAUUUCGUGAACAUUACUUAUUACUCAUCGUGUUGCCUGGGUUGAAGUGUAAUACAACAAAGACCAAUCGUCCGAGUCUAUUACGGUUAUUGAUAGACGCGCAAGCUUAAUUUUAAAAUAAGCGCUCUGUAUCGAGUUAGGGACAAAGACAGGGAAAAUUGAUCAAUACUCCUCCUGUCUUUGUUUGCCUUUUUCUGGUUUCGAAGACAAACCUUUGUUCUGGUUCAUUUGUAUUUCUGAUUUUCCUUUGCUUCAAGUUUAAGUUCAUUUUGACAUAAUUUUGAAUUUUGUAGUUCAUUUAUUUUCCAACACUUCAAAUAACAUUUUCAACUCAUUUAUAGAUAAUUAUAUUUCUUGAAAAUGGCAGAUGCAAUGGAAGAUACUGAACCUCGUGAAGACCGAGUUACUAUCAAAGUCAAGAUUGGAGGCGAAGGUUAUCAUGAUAUUGUAAUUGAUUGGUCAGACGGUAAAGAUACAAGUCAAAUUUUAAUCGACCAACUUUCAUUGUUAACAGGAAUACCAUGCGAAAACAUAGACUGCGUCAUUGUCAAUUGUGUUCCAGGCCACGUUUAUAUCUCCA